RNAcentral lists this ribosomal RNA (808 nucleotides) under Staphylococcus aureus. RNAcentral's name for it is "partial 23S ribosomal RNA". It matches the Rfam family "Bacterial large subunit ribosomal RNA", at positions 12 to 817 of the family's 2925-position model. The record is from RNAcentral. Lineage: Bacteria; Bacillati; Bacillota; Bacilli; Caryophanales; Staphylococcaceae.
UAAGGGCGCACGGUGGAUGCCUUGGCACUAGAAGCCGAUGAAGGACGUUACUAACGACGAUAUGCUUUGGGGAGCUGUAAGUAAGCUUUGAUCCAGAGAUUUCCGAAUGGGGAAACCCAGCAUGAGUUAUGUCAUGUUAUCGAUAUGUGAAUACAUAGCAUAUCAGAAGGCACACCCGGAGAACUGAAACAUCUUAGUACCCGGAGGAAGAGAAAGAAAAUUCGAUUCCCUUAGUAGCGGCGAGCGAAACGGGAAGAGCCCAAACCAACAAGCUUGCUUGUUGGGGUUGUAGGACACUCUAUACGGAGUUACAAAGGACGACAUUAGACGAAUCAUCUGGAAAGAUGAAUCAAAGAAGGUAAUAAUCCUGUAGUCGAAAAUGUUGUCUCUCUUGAGUGGAUCCUGAGUACGACGGAGCACGUGAAAUUCCGUCGGAAUCUGGGAGGACCAUCUCCUAAGGCUAAAUACUCUCUAGUGACCGAUAGUGAACCAGUACCGUGAGGGAAAGGUGAAAAGCACCCCGGAAGGGGAGUGAAAUAGAACCUGAAACCGUGUGCUUACAAGUAGUCAGAGCCCGUUAAUGGGUGAUGGCGUGCCUUUUGUAGAAUGAACCGGCGAGUUACGAUUUGAUGCAAGGUUAAGCAGUAAAUGUGGAGCCGUAGCGAAAGCGAGUCUGAAUAGGGCGUUUAGUAUUUGGUCGUAGACCCGAAACCAGGUGAUCUACCCUUGGUCAGGUUGAAGUUCAGGUAACACUGAAUGGAGGACCGAACCGACUUACGUUGAAAAGUGAGCGGAUGAACUGAGGGUA